This 253-nucleotide ribosomal RNA is filed under the name uncultured bacterium. RNAcentral describes it as "partial 16S ribosomal RNA". It matches the Rfam family "Bacterial small subunit ribosomal RNA", at positions 524 to 776 of the family's 1533-position model. The record is from RNAcentral.
UACGUAGGGUGCAAGCGUUGUCCGGAAUUAUUGGGCGUAAAGAGCUCGUAGGCGGUCUGUCGCGUCUGCUGUGAAAACUCAGGGCUUAACCCUGAGCUUGCAGUGGGUACGGGCAGACUAGAGUGCGGUAGGGGAGACUGGAAUUCCUGGUGUAGCGGUGAAAUGCGCAGAUAUCAGGAGGAACACCGGUGGCGAAAGCGAGCGACUGGAUCUCUACUGACGCUGAGGCGCGAAAGCCAGGGGAGCAAACGGG